AUUUUUGCCCAUUCAUAAGCAUGAUGAUUGGGUGUUCACAUGUUUGUGUGGCAUGUACCUUCCUCAAAUCUUGUUAUGCACUUGGCAUACUACCCAUCUGAUG
Sorex fumeus (smoky shrew) is the source of this 103-nucleotide small nucleolar RNA. RefSeq annotates it as small nucleolar RNA U13. The record is from RefSeq and is a predicted model, not a curated record. Lineage: Eukaryota; Metazoa; Chordata; Mammalia; Eulipotyphla; Soricidae. The transcript has a single exon.